Molecule: long non-coding RNA, 1783 nt
Organism: Lutra lutra (Eurasian river otter)
Lineage: Eukaryota; Metazoa; Chordata; Mammalia; Carnivora; Mustelidae
Exons: 3
Source: RefSeq, a predicted model, not a curated record
GGCAAUGACCUUGGGGACAGCUGGGGCUGGGUUAUCGUGCGCCAAAGGCCUGGGUAGGUACCCAGAACUCUGACCUGGGUGUUUUAGAAUCUGACAGGGCUCCCUGACAACGACGAUGGGGGUUUCUGAGUGCCGGAAAAACACUGGAAACAGAACGGAACCCUGCGGCCCGUUGCCCGGAGACGGGCAGAGAAACAGGAAGCAGGUAGGGAGGAGCGGUUCUUUCUGCUGCGUGCCCUGCAGGCCGAGCCCCAGCCCCAGCCUCAGCGCAGGGGAGGAAGGGGGGGCUGGGACUUAACAGCCAUCAGAGGCAGGCUCCUGUAUUAGUGCAUUCAGUGACAAGAGUUCUACCUGCCACAGUGUGAACACAGUGGUGUACACUUUCCCCAGCUGCUGGCAACCACCGAGUAGUGGGAGAAAACACCUGGGAUCUCUACAGGUGGGCAAGUCGCAUACACUUCCCUUAGGACUGAAGUGUUCAGCCUGUAUUCAAAUGGGAGGGUGCCAAGGCUUGGGGAAUGCUGACUGGAGACAUGGUGUGGGGCCUUCUGAGGAAGUGAGAAGUGAGCCUCCUGGCUGUGGGAGAAGAAUUGUAACCAUCCACCACCCUUUGUCAGAUGUCCAAAGGCACAGGAAACCUGCUCCUCCCAGCUGGGCUGUGUUGAAGGAUUUGGUGCUCUUUCUCUCAUCCAGACUCCCCUGGUCUCCCGCCAGAAGCUGACUCAGGCGGAUUCUGGGGACAGCGAUGUGGGACACUGCGCUAGGUGAACGUACCUCACAUGGGGGUGGGAAUGAAGCGUCGUGGUGGGCCUCUGUUCAUCAGAAGCUGUUUCCCAGGGAACAGUGUGCUGGAACAGCCAGUUGUGUUCCAUGAGACAGUGUUAUUUGGAAAGAGAGGCAUGUGUAAGCAUUUACCCCAGAUGUAGCCAUCAUUUCCAUCCUACUUAACCCCACCCUUCGGCUCUCCUUCAUCUGCUCAGCUUCCGUGAGAACUCGAACAUCUUACAGGAGAAGAUCAGCCGAGAACCACUCUUAGGUUUGUCAAGAAUCUGCCUGGGCAAUCUCAACUGAGAAAAAACAUUGGCCUGGGCUAUGGAAAGGUAAAUAAAUAAUUUGCAAAUCAUCAAAACAAGAGCAAAAAACCUAACACUCCAAGACAUGCUUUGACAAUUAGGGAAAGAACUUCAAAAACCAAAGCAUCAAAGAGCUACCAGUUCAUAGCUGCCAAACUCACAAAGGCGAAGAAUGAUCACAGCACUUGACCCAGUGGGGAGGAAGCCACUUCCAGACCACAGGGGGGUGAGGGUAAACGAAGAAGGCUUUUCAGGAAAGCAAUAUGGGAACAAGUCUCAGGAUCCUCACCCAUGUUUACGCUUCUCACAUCUGUGUUUGCUCAUGUAAUAUUCUGACUCGAGGAAGUUAAUUGAAGUACAAGAAAGUAUUUACCCAUAAAGACAUUUGCUGCAAUGUUAUUCAUGACUGUAAACAAACACAAAACCCUGUGAACAACCUUUGUGUCCAGCAACAGGAAAAUAAGGACAUGACGAGAUGUCCUUUGUGCUGUGUUCUGUGACCAUUACGUUUUUCAGAGCAUUUGAUACAAAAGUUGAGCUUAUUUCUUCCCUUGAAAAAGAGAAUAAACGUGCAGUAUUUCCAAAUAUGCAAAUGAGACUAUGUUCAAAAACAUCCAUAGGUGAAAGAUCAGAGGGGAGUAAAACAAAAUUGUUACAGGUUUUAUGCUUGGUCACAGUAUGGGACAUAAUAUUUAUCUUCUGUUGUCUGA